This is a long non-coding RNA of Topomyia yanbarensis, 913 nucleotides long. RefSeq lists it as uncharacterized. Lineage: Eukaryota; Metazoa; Arthropoda; Insecta; Diptera; Culicidae. The record is from RefSeq and is a predicted model, not a curated record. The transcript is spliced from 2 exons.
GGUCCAUUUUUUAUUUCGAUUGAAGAGGUCAUUCAGGGCCCAGAUAAGCUGAAAUUCCGUUCCGAUUCCGUUCCGUUUUGACGUUUUGGAUCGCAGUGGAACUUAUGUUCAACCCUGUGCAUAUGUCUAAACCAGAGCAAAACAAAUCGAUCAUCUCUUUUUCUCCUAUCAAUUUUUCUUUCGUGUGUCAUCAUACGUUGCGUUACCAGUCAGAAAGAGAUAAAAAACUUUGUUUACAUAUAGUAUUAAAAGCAGCAAACGAAAAUUUCAAUCACAUUUUAAAUCUUUCUGCAAUUAAAAAUAUAUAUUAGCAAAAGUUUUUCACUACAAUCGGAGCAUAAAAAAGUUCCGGAAGUGCUUGUGGAGUUUUGUUGUUGUUUUUCCGAAUAGUAAGCUAGCGAGAGUGGAUAUUUUUUAACACCAUGUCAACAAAAAUGACAAAUUGUUGAUGAGCGAUGUACGGUUGAAAUAAUGCCUGAUGAUAAAUUCUAUUCUAUUGCGAACAAUAAAUCACCUUUGUGAUGUGUAAUUAUAAUGUGUAAUUCGAUUAAUCCAAAUCAGAUUAGAAACUAGUGUAGGAAGAUCUUGUGUAGUGUUUUAAGAAGCCAAUAAGAAGAUCAUGUAGUGAGAAGACUUCACCCCGGAAGCUUAAACAAGGUUCCCACUGAUAGUGAUUCCAUUUUGAAGGCUCUUUUGUAUGGCAAUACAAAUUACGAAAUUACAACGAGUGAAACGUGUUAGCAUCUUUGAUACACAGCUGCUAUUUGGACCAGCGAUCAUGCAGUUUUAAAGUCUACACGUGGAAAUGGAUACCCUCGAUACGAGAUUUCAACGUGCCAUAAUGCGAUUUGGAGCUGGCUGAUAACUAUUCGACUAAAACUAUAUAAGGAAUAGACAAACGAAUGAAAUAUCA